AGCAGCAGCCGCGGUAAUACGUAGGUGGCAAGCGUUGUCCGGAAUUAUUGGGCGUAAAGGGUGCGUAGGCGGUUUGAUAAGUCUUGUGUAAAAUCCAUGGGCUCAACCCAUAGUCUGCACAGGAAACUGUCGGGCUUGAGAGUGGGAGAGGUGAGUGGAAUUUCCGGUGUAGCGGUGAAAUGCGUAGAUAUCGGAAGGAACACCUGUGGCGAAAGCGGCCCACUGGACCAUUUCUGACGCUGAUGCACGAAAGCUAGGGGAGCGAACAGGAUUAGAUACCCCUGUAAUCCCUGUCUCUUAUAC
RNAcentral lists this ribosomal RNA (303 nucleotides) under uncultured bacterium. RNAcentral describes it as "partial 16S ribosomal RNA". It matches the Rfam family "Bacterial small subunit ribosomal RNA", at positions 507 to 807 of the family's 1533-position model. The record is from RNAcentral.